ACAGUGGACGCGAAACAAGCAUCUUUGUGGCCAAGUUAAUAAGGGCGCACGGUGGAUGCCUUGGCACCAGGAGCCGAUGAAGGACGUAGGAGCCUGCGAUAAGCCUCGGGAAGCUGGCAACCAAGCUGUGAUCCGAGGAUUUCCGAAUGGGGAAACCCGGCUGGAGUCAUGUCCAGUCACCCAUGCCUGAACACAUAGGGCAUGCGGAGGGAACGUGGGGAAGUGAAACAUCUCAGUACCCACAGGAAGAGAAAGCAACCGCGAUUCCCUGAGUAGUGGUGAGCGAAAAGGGAAGAGGCCAAACCGAUUACGUGUCAAAGCCAGCAGGCGUUGCGUGAUCGGGGAAGCGGGACCGUCCAGCCGGAGCUGCUGAUCCGGCAGGGAGUUAUAAAUCGUUUGGGUAACCGAAGACGUUGGAAAGCGUCGGCACAGAGGGUGAUACCCCCGUAGGUGAAACUCAGGCGACUCCCGGACGGGAUCCCAAGUAGCACGGAGCCCGAGAAAUUCCGUGUGAAUCUGGGAGGACC
Molecule: ribosomal RNA, 527 nt
Filed under: Lacticaseibacillus rhamnosus
Lineage: Bacteria; Bacillati; Bacillota; Bacilli; Lactobacillales; Lactobacillaceae
Description: bacterial LSU rRNA
Rfam family: Bacterial large subunit ribosomal RNA
Source: RNAcentral